UUAAUUGAAGAGUUUGAUCAUGGCUCAGAUUGAACGCUGGCGGCAGGCCUAACACAUGCAAGUCGAACGGUAACAGGGAGCAGCUUGCUGCUCUGCUGACGAGUGGCGGACGGGUGAGUAAUGUCUGGGAAACUGCCUGAUGGAGGGGGAUAACUACUGGAAACGGUAGCUAAUACCGCAUAACGUCU
This 188-nucleotide ribosomal RNA is filed under the name Cronobacter sakazakii. Its description in RNAcentral is "partial 16S ribosomal RNA". It matches the Rfam family "Bacterial small subunit ribosomal RNA", at positions 1 to 181 of the family's 1533-position model. The record is from RNAcentral. Lineage: Bacteria; Pseudomonadati; Pseudomonadota; Gammaproteobacteria; Enterobacterales; Enterobacteriaceae.